Zingiber officinale is the source of this 790-nucleotide long non-coding RNA. RefSeq lists it as uncharacterized. The transcript has 3 exons. Lineage: Eukaryota; Viridiplantae; Streptophyta; Magnoliopsida; Zingiberales; Zingiberaceae. The record is from RefSeq and is a predicted model, not a curated record.
CCCGGAAAAGCCUGUUUAGGCUACCCGAUUUAAGCGAGGAAAAGAUUUUAUUUAUAUGUCUUAUUCCUUUUUAUUUCCUUUGUUUUUGUUUUUCAUUUUGUUGUCGCCGAAACCGAGCCAAAGCCGCACCCCUUCCUUCUUCUCCCCGACGCCGACGCGCGCUUCACCUUCUUUGCCCUAACCGGCGCCGACGCCGGCGGUUUCUUCCUCUCCACAGCCGAGUGAUCUUGUGCCCUAGAGAGCAGCAGCAAGUCACCACCGCCGCACCUCCCCGUUGCACACUGCGAGCCGAUCUUUGCCCUCUACCUUGCGGACUCGUGCCCUAGAUCGCCGGGAGCCAGGAGCGUGCGUCGAUGAUAGAGGUCUCCGAUCAAGAAGGGGAAUCCUAGCUCUAGUCUUGACCCUUUCUCCUCAUCGUCGGCUUGGAUUUACCGUGCCGUGCCCUAGCUCCAAGCUUCGGCUCCUCUUUAGGGCAAGGGUGUUUCGGUAAGGUAACAACAAGUGGAGAAGAAUUACAGGAGGUGAAGUUCUGUUCUAUUCUGUGGUGUAUAUUUCUUGAUCACCUGAGAUGUUAUCUUCAUCUGAUCAGUGGGAAGGAUUUUAGCAGUGAGGCUCUAUUACUGUGAUGCUGGAAUUGUGAUUAUUGAGGUGUUAUCCAGCAACUUUCCCUAACCGGUAGCAACAUCUUUGAUUGUGAUCUAUUGGUGAUCACCUUGGAUUUGGUGGACACAGGACGUUGACGAGAGACGAGCAUCUUGACGUUGGAUUUGACUGGAUUGGAUCUACAGUU